GAUGAACGCUGGCGGCGUGCCUAACACAUGCAAGUCGAACGGACUUACAUUGAAGCCUAGCGAUAUGUAAGUUAGUGGCGGACGGGUGAGUAACGCGUGGGUAACCUGCCUUGUACUGGGGGACAACAGUUGGAAACGACUGCUAAUACCGCAUAAGCGCACAGCUUCGCAUGAAGCAGUGUGAAAAACUCCGGUGGUACAAGAUGGACCCGCGUCUGAUUAGCUGGUUGGUGAGGUAACGGCCCACCAAGGCGACGAUCAGUAGCCGGCCUGAGAGGGUGAACGGCCACAUUGGGACUGAGACACGGCCCAAACUCCUACGGGAGGCAGCAGUGGGGAAUAUUGCACAAUGGGGGAAACCCUGAUGCAGCAACGCCGCGUGAGUGAAGAAGUAUUUCGGUAUGUAAAGCUCUAUCAGCAG
RNAcentral lists this ribosomal RNA (421 nucleotides) under uncultured bacterium. RNAcentral describes it as "bacterial SSU rRNA". It matches the Rfam family "Bacterial small subunit ribosomal RNA", at positions 28 to 442 of the family's 1533-position model. The record is from RNAcentral.